AACGAACGCUGGCGGCGUGCCUAACACAUGCAAGUCGUGCGAGAAAGUUCCUUCGGGAGCGAGUAAAGCGGCGCACGGGUGAGUAACACGUAGGUAACCUGCCCCCAGUCUGGAACAACUAGAGGAAACUCUAGCUAAUGCCGGAUGGGACCACGAUCCCUUCGGGGGUUGCGGGCCAAAGAUGGCCUCUACUUGUAAGCUAUCGCUGAGGGAUGGGCCUGCGGGCCAUUAGCUUGUUAGGUGAGGUAACGGCUCACCAAGGCUGUGAUGGCUAGCUGGUCUGAGAGGAUGACCAGCCACGCUGGGACUGAGACACGGCCCAGACUCCUACGGGAGUCAGCAGUGGGGAAUAUUGCGCAAUGGGCGAAAGCCUGACGCAGCGACGCCGCGUGGGUGAUGAAGG
Molecule: ribosomal RNA, 403 nt
Filed under: uncultured bacterium
Lineage: Bacteria
Description: bacterial SSU rRNA
Rfam family: Bacterial small subunit ribosomal RNA
Source: RNAcentral